RNAcentral lists this ribosomal RNA (466 nucleotides) under uncultured bacterium. Its description in RNAcentral is "partial 16S ribosomal RNA". It matches the Rfam family "Bacterial small subunit ribosomal RNA", at positions 28 to 507 of the family's 1533-position model. The record is from RNAcentral.
GAUGAACGCUGGCGGCGUGCUUAACACAUGCAAGUCGAACGAUGAAGCCCAGCUUGCUGGGUGGAUUAGUGGCGAACGGGUGAGUAACACGUGAGUAACCUGCCCUUAACUCUGGGAUAAGCCUGGGAAACUGGGUCUAAUACCGGAUAGGAGCGUCCACCGCAUGGUGGGUGUUGGAAAGAUUUAUCGGUUUUGGAUGGACUCGCGGCCUAUCAGCUUGUUGGUGAGGUAAUGGCUCACCAAGGCGACGACGGGUAGCCGGCCUGAGAGGGUGACCGGCCACACUGGGACUGAGACACGGCCCAGACUCCUACGGGAGGCAGCACUGGGGAAUAUUGCACAAUGGGCGCAAGCCUGAUGCAGCGACGCCGCGUGAGGGAUGACGGCCUUCGGGUUGUAAACCUCUUUCAGUAGGGAAGAAGCGAAAGUGACGGUACCUGCAGAAGAAGCACCGGCUAACUACGUG